AUGCAGCCGAGCGGUAGAAGAUCUUCGGAUCUUUGAGAGCGGCGCACGGGUGCGGAACACGUGUGCAACCUGCCUUUAUCAGGGGGAUAGCCUUUCGAAAGGAAGAUUAAUACCCCAUAAUAUAAUGACUGGCAUCAGUUAUUAUUGAAAACUCCGGUGGAUAGAGAUGGGCACGCGCAAGAUUAGAUAGUUGGUGAGGUAACGGCUCACCAAGUCUGCGAUCUUUAGGGGGCCUGAGAGGGUGAUCCCCCACACUGGUACUGAGACACGGACCAGACUCCUACGGGAGGCAGCAGUGAGGAAUAUUGGACAAUGGGUGAGAGCCUGAUCCAGCCAUCCCGCGUGAAGGACGACGGCCCUAUGGGUUGUAAACUUCUUUUGUAUAGGGAUAAACCUACUCUCGUGAGAGUAGCUGAAGGUACUAUACGAAUAAGCACCGGCUAACUCCGUGCCAGCAGCCGCGGUAAUACGGAGGGUGCAAGCGUUAUCCGGAUUUAUUGGGUUUAAAGGGUCCGUAGGCUGAUUUGUAAGUCAGUGGUGAAAUCUCACAGCUCAACUGUGAAACUGCCAUUGAUACUGCAAGUCUUGAGUGUUGUUGAAGUAGCUGGAAUAAGUAGUGUAGCGGUGAAAUGCAUAGAUAUUACUUAGAACACCAAUUGCGAAGGCAGGUUACUAAGCAACAACUGACGCUGAUGGACGAAAGCGUGGGGAGCGAACAGGAUUAGAUACCCUGGUAGUCCACGCCGUAAACGAUGCUAACUCGUUUUUGGGUUUUCGGAUUCAGAGACUAAGCGAAAGUGAUAAGUUAGCCACCUGGGGAGUACGUUCGCAAGAAUGAAACUCAAAGGAAUUGACGGGGGCCCGCACAAGCGGUGGAUUAUGUGGUUUAAUUCGAUGAUACGCGAGGAACCUUACCAAGGCUUAAAUGGGAAUUGACAGGUUUAGAAAUAGACUUUUCUUCGGACAAUUUUCAAGGUGCUGCAUGGUUGUCGUCAGCUCGUGCCGUGAGGUGUUAGGUUAAGUCCUGCAACGAGCGCAACCCCUGUCACUAGUUGCCAUCAUUCAGUUGGGGACUCUAGUGAGACUGCCUACGCAAGUAGAGAGGAAGGUGGGGAUGACGUCAAAUCAUCACGGCCCUUACGCCUUGGGCCACACACGUAAUACAAUGGCCAGUACAGAGGGCAGCUACACAGCGAUGUGAUGCAAAUCUCGAAAGCUGGUCUCAGUUCGGAUUGGAGUCUGCAACUCGACUCUAUGAAGCUGGAAUCGCUAGUAAUCGCGCAUCAGCCAUGGCGCGGUGAAUACGUUCCCGGGCCUUGUACACACCGCCCGUCAAGCCAUGGAAGUCUGGGGUACCUGAAGUCGGUGACCGUAACAGGAGCUGCC
RNAcentral lists this ribosomal RNA (1386 nucleotides) under Chryseobacterium pyrolae. Its description in RNAcentral is "bacterial SSU rRNA". It matches the Rfam family "Bacterial small subunit ribosomal RNA". RNAcentral also lists the same sequence under 1 other name. Lineage: Bacteria; Pseudomonadati; Bacteroidota; Flavobacteriia; Flavobacteriales; Weeksellaceae. The record is from RNAcentral.